AGUGAACGCUGGCGGUAGGCCUAACACAUGCAAGUCGAACGGCAGCACAGUAAGAGCUUGCUCUUACGGGUGGCGAGUGGCGGACGGGUGAGGAAUACAUCGGAAUCUACUUUUUCGUGGGGGAUAACGUAGGGAAACUUACGCUAAUACCGCAUACGACCUACGGGUGAAAGCAGGGGAUCUUCGGACCUUGCGCGACUGAAUGAGCCGAUGUCGGAUUAGCUAGUUGGCGGGGUAACGGCCCACCAAGGCGACGAUCCGUAGCCGGCCUGAGAGGAUGAUCGGCCACACUGGAACUGAGACACGGUCCAGACUCCUACGGGAGGCAGCAGUAGGGAAUCUUGGGCAAUGGGCGAAAGCCUGACGGAGCCACGCCGCGUGAGUGAUGAAGGUCUUCGGAUCGUAAAACUCUGUUAUUAGCGAAGAACAAAUGUGUAAGUAACUAUGCACGUCUUGACGGUACCUAAUCAGAAAGCCACGGCUAACUACGUG
RNAcentral lists this ribosomal RNA (492 nucleotides) under uncultured bacterium. RNAcentral's name for it is "partial 16S ribosomal RNA". It matches the Rfam family "Bacterial small subunit ribosomal RNA", at positions 29 to 507 of the family's 1533-position model. The record is from RNAcentral.